CGGCCGUGUUACCUAGGUGAUAGCGGAGCGGCUGGGUAGGAAGCAAUUGUUCUCAAACUUCACUAGCCCCGUCGGCGCGGACGCUUGUCGAGAAUGCAGAUUCCUGGGUACUGCCAGAUACGGUUGGUGAUCUUGUAGGGCUGGAGUGGAAGCCAUGAAUCUGCAUUUUCAUCAUUUCUGGCCCUCUGCCCGGACUGAGAAUUGAGCAUACCACAAAAAAGUUCUCAUUUUGUGUCCUCCCAUCCCAUUCUCCUCACUAACCAAAGGCUAGGAAUUAUCUGUGAAUGUAGGACCACUGGAUUUGCAGUCUUCAUCUGACACUGUGGAGAGUUUCUAGGAAUGAAACAGAUAUAUGGCCUUGGGUCCCCUUUUUUUUUCUUCUUUUUUUUUUAAUAGAGACGAGCAUCUCACUAUGUUGCCUAGGGUAGUCUUGAACUCCUGGCCUCAAGCAAUCCCCACCCGACCCCGCCUCUCGAAGUGAUGGGAUUACAGGCAUAAACCACCACGCCUGGCCAGAAGGUGCUUUAACACCAAAUCUGAAAAUUGUUCAGAAGAGAAAUGUUGAGCAUGAACACCAUCUGUGCGAGUCAUUUACUUAUUGCCCCUCACCUCUAAAUCUACCUUCUGUACUCUUCUUCCCUGUAAUGAUGGGGCUAGUUGUCCUCAAACUGUUUCUCAGACUUCUUUGUAAGCUUGCUUCCUGUUCAGUUCUGCCAAUAGGGGUCACUAGAGAGAGACUGGGAGGCAGAAGGAGAGAAUAUGCUUCCUGUUUUUUCUGUUCUUGUUAAUGUUGCUUACAGGACCAGCAAUGCUUCUUCACCUAGAGGCACUUCUCCCAGCAGUGGCAGUGCCACUUCAGCUUCUUUCAGCACUACUGGAAUCAGCCUCAGUGAUUCCCCCUGUACCCACUCAGGGAUUAUCAACAGCAGCCAGAUGGUUCUACCUUCCACAAAGAUUGUGGUUGCAAUUCUGGGCUUCUAAGUUCUGGUUACUUCAUAUUUUUCCUUUUGUUCCUCCAGCCCUAGAGGUGGUAGCUGCUUUCUGAAGUUAUUAUUUCUAGAUGACUUUUGGUUUUUCAGCCUUUGUAUUUUGCUUUUCAGCCCUCUAAUGCCUGUAUAACCAAUUUCCCUGUAAUAAAUAAAUUUCCUCCAUUG
This 1154-nucleotide long non-coding RNA is filed under the name Pan troglodytes (chimpanzee). RNAcentral describes it as "long non-coding RNA NONPTRT002537". The record is from RNAcentral. Lineage: Eukaryota; Metazoa; Chordata; Mammalia; Primates; Hominidae.